AUGGAUGAGGACUUGGAACAUGCCCUUCUGCUUUGCUCUCAUGCCCGCUGGUUUUGGGAGGAAGCCCGACUGCUCUUUGACAUACACGUGCCACGGCUCCGUCCUCAAUCAUGGACAAGGGAUAUCUUAUGCGAUCAGAGUUUUCCUGAAAACGACAGAGCGAUCAUUGUCGCGGUGAUGUCGGCCGUUUGGAUGUCUCGCAAUCGCUUGACGCAUGACCUGGAAAGGAUAGAUCCAGCCAGCUCAAUCAAUACAGACACUGUAGUUCAUCUUGAUGAUGGCAACGUUGGAGCGGGGGGUUGUCGGGCCGCUCUUCUUCGAGAUUCAAGGGUGCAUGGUCAUUGCUGGGCAUGUCACGCGAUCCUAGUUCGUAGACCCCCGGGGCCCUGCUUACAUUCCUUCCGUGGAUCGUCCUUCGCUUCUUCUCCGCCACAGCGCACCAAUCCCCAAGCCUUCGUCCUCACUCCUCACGCGGCCACAGACGCAUUUCCCCAGAGGAGUCCGACUGCAUCCACAGUCCGCGCUCGUGCUGCGCCCACGUCCGAGGGACCCACCACCGGCCCCGCCUCCGCCUCCAUAACUCCAUUAACUACCUUGAAGUCGAGCUUGCCUUCAAGAGUCGAGCCAUCGCCAGUUCACCACCUUGCAGUUACAGUCGUCACACUCCCCCGCCGUCUCCGCAUGCCACAACUAGUAAUAGCUCCACCGCCUGUUCUGCUCCUCGUCCCUUUCUUGCUUGCUCGAUGCAACGGCCGGAAUUGA
This 762-nucleotide ribosomal RNA is filed under the name Triticum aestivum (bread wheat). RNAcentral's name for it is "partial small subunit ribosomal RNA". The record is from RNAcentral. Lineage: Eukaryota; Viridiplantae; Streptophyta; Magnoliopsida; Poales; Poaceae.